CUAUGUUAAAGGGCCAAAAGUACACAUCACAUGUUCCGGUCUAAAAAGCCUUGAAUUCCAAGUCAAUUAUGCUUUCCAACAUUGACAAGAUUAAUUAUAAUUAAAAAUCUAAUAUCUAAUGUUUAGAAUUAAAUUCUUGCUACAUCUACAUCUUGGGUUUGAUUGGUUUCCAACGUUACAAAUGAAACCUUCUUACUUUUUGUGAACCUAAAAAUUAGGAUACAUUAAUCUGUACAGAAACAUCCUACGCUUGCACAGUUAAAUUAGGUAUGGCUCGGGUGACUCCUCCUCCAAGAAAACAUCUCUUGGUCUCAUCCCCAGGAGCACAAGUGCUGAACCCAUCAUUCUGUGGUUAACUUAAAUCAAAGAGAUGAGGAAAAGAAAUAAUAAUUAACUCAUUUCUUAGAGCUGCAAUGCUAAAUCUGGCUGUGCUGAAUCAACACGGCUAGAACUAGGAGAACCUGGAGACUGAAAUCUGACAUUCAGGUCAGGUGGGACUGAAUCUGAUUUCUGUUGCGGUGACAACCCUGAAUCUGGUUUUGGCUGUGGUGAUGAUCCUUGACAUGAAGGUCGGGGUUCGUAUCCAGAUAUUGGGGCUUCCUUUUUUUCGUUACCAGAAUUUGGUAGUGCACCACUGGAAUUUAUUGCAGAGGAAUUCUCGGAAAGCUUUGGAUUUUUUAAGUUCACGCUGUUUUCUGUUGAUGGAUGGACAAAGUUAGCAUUAGUAGCGGAGACUCUGUCAGUCAGAGAUGGCCGAAAGUUAAUCCCAGCAGGCCUGGCAGCCCCAACUAGUUUUCCCAUCUGGGCUGGAAGACUAAACCUGUGGGUGCCAUUGAAUCCAUUCAUGCCAGGGUGAAAUUCAUGGCUCUGAUGAAUCUGAAAUGGAGGCCUUGGCCUGCUCAUACUUGUAUUGCUGUUGAGGAUGUUAAAACGCCCGUGAGAGUUAAAUACGUCAACUGCUGCCUCCGCGCAAGGUUCAGAUUUACUAGCAGCUGCAUGGAGUGUAGAUGUUGAGGCAGAUGAUGAAAGAUCAUUGGUUAGUUGUGGUGCCCCUGAAGCCGAGUGAAUUUGAGGUACCUCAUUCUUGCUCACAUUCAUUUCAGGUUUUUCUGACAGUUUUUCUCUCAAUUCAACACUGCAAGAUGUGAUAACAGCACAUGAAUCUUUGGGAAGUCUGCGAAGCCGUGAUGGUGAUGGCAGGCCUUGAGGGUUUGAAGAAAGAAGCAAUGCCCUCUGUGGUGGGAUGUCAUUUUCCCCAACCCAUCCAGGGCCAAACAUAACUCCAGAUGGCAAAGACCUCUCAAUUUUUUUCGAAGCAAUUUUCCAUGCAAUGGUGCCAAUAUUUGCGGCAAAUCGAGCUAAGCUCCUUGCAUAACCAUGCUCUGACAGAAGCCCUACCUGAUGCACGUGAAGCUACAUCAAUCAACUAACCAGAGGAAGGACCAGCAAACAUGCCUAAUAAAAUUGGACCAUGGAAAAGUACAGAAGCACAUGGUUCAACAAUGAUAUUCAAAAGUAUCAAGUAGAAGAAUGGAUAUCAUUGUGAUACAUACAGCCAUUAGCUGCUUCCUCUCUGCAUCAAAAGUACCAAACACAGAUGGUUCCCGUCCACCAGCCGAAAAUUGGUUGUACGUGUUACGCCUGUUCUCGUCAAGUACAAAUUGUCUUUUCCCAUAUUUCAUUGAAUUACCUUUAAACAUAGAGCCUUCAUCAUUCUUCUCAAAUUUGUUGUCAGUCAACCAAUAAGCAUCAUUGUGAGAACCAUGAGAUCGUCCUGAUGAAUCUGCCAAGCUAGACUUGUCUAAAACAUAAGGUCCUUUUCUCAGAUCAUUAUUGGACCAGACAGUGCUCUCUCCCCCAGUCAGAAGAGUUCCACCAUCCAAGGCAACCGCUGAACCAGCAUGCUCCAAUAAAGGCCUGCCCACUGGUUUUUUAAAAUUCUUGGUUGGUGGUCUACCUCUCCUCACUAUUUUAGGUUCUGGUUCAUUAUCAUCACUAUCUUGCCUUAAAUUUUCAAAAUUCUUUUUAGCCAGCUCUUGUAUAGAUCUUGCCUAACAACAACAACAGAAAUUCAAAUAACAUUUCCAAAUGGUUGAGCAAUGGGAAAUUUAGAGCUAAGAGGUUGAUUAUACCUGUCUAAAAUAUAUGGUAUCUGGGGCAUUAUACUGCAUCGCAUUUGAACAGAUUAAGAAAAUAUCUUUCUGCAAGACGAUGACAUUAACUUCGACGUCACUCUCCAAAAAACAAAGAAAAUGUAAAUGAAUUUCAAGAUAUUAUUAGAUCAGGAUAAUGGCCUAAUUCAGCUUCUGAGUACAUCCUUAAUUGCUUUACAGAUAUGAAGCUGAGAACAUUUCAAGAAAUGCCAAUUCAAUAGCAAGUAGAACAAGAGUUUUCAUCAGGAUCUGUAGCAAUUAUUAUAAUUCAACUCCCUGGCCAUCAAACCAAUAGCAUGGAGACACUGAACUAGUGAUAACUAUUUCAUAAAAUUGGGCAGCUAUAAGCCUUGAAUUUAUUAGUAUAUCUAGGGUAAAUUAAGGAAUAAAAAGUUUAAGCAUUAACAAUGGCCCUACAAAAAUAUUCUGGAAAACAAUCAGAGCAAUCAGAGUAAAAUCUGUAACGAGGACAUUCAUAAAUCUAAAUCAUCACUCUAGACACACUUAUCCAUGAAUAUCAAGUCAAGGAGUAGAAAAUAAUGGUAUAAACAGAGCAGACAAUUGGGGCUUUCUUAGCAUAUUUGUUGAUUCAUAGCAGUUGCACACAUUCUGUUUCAUGUUGACAUGAGGACUCACUCAUACCACAAAGUAAGGAAGCAGCAGAUGGAUAAAAUUCUGCAUGUGUUGAUGUGAAGGUUUAUUUCCCAGGCCAUUUUGUAGCAAAAUUUGAGAGUUUGAUGGCACUCCACAUCACAGAUAGGCCCUAUAAAGUACAUUGAUUAUCUAAGCACAUGUUAAUGACAGAAAUUGAUAGGUGCAUAACCUCUACUGGUUGGCCUCCACAGCUCAACUAAGCCCUGUCAAUAAUCACAACAAUAUUAAGAUGUUUUCUAUGCUGGACAACUGUAGUUCAACCCACAAAUGCUCUCAGACACAGUAACAAUAAUUACAUUUCCCACAACACUACAUUAUAGUCUCAAGUGGAUCAAAAAGGUUGUGAUAUUAAAAGUGGAUAUGCCAUCAAUUGGCAAAUUAAAAGAAGAUUUGCCAUUAUUAGAAGUACACCAACCAAACUCUGCUGGAUUCAUACAGGAAACCUCCUCUGCUUUGUUCAAUUUCAACAACCCAUCAGUUAUAUAAUAGGAGACAUAUUAAAAUCAUAUUCCUACUUUGAAACAGUUUCCCAAUGUACGCAAAUUUUAUGUGGUAUUAAUUCUUAGCUUGGCACAAUCAGAUAGUACAAAUUGCCACUGGAUUUCCCAUAGGCACUAGCUCAGCUAAGUGAAUAAGUUCUUUCAGCAUAAAAACUUAUAAUCAACCGACAAUUUAAGUUUUAAAAGGAUUGAUAGUAUCAUAAAACAAGUCUAAACCUCUCAAUGAAUAGAAAAUAACUGGGGUAAGUUGGUGAAUGCUAAUCUGGAAAUAUAAUGCCUCAAUCAGUACAAUACUCUUUACAGAACUGUGUGGAUUAUGCAAAAUUACAAGCAGGCAACUUAAGGUGAAACAAAAAGUUCCCUGCAUAAACCAAGCAACAGACAACAAACCUUCAAUCCUAGGAACAAGUACUAAUUUGAUACGGUGCCCAUAGAGACCUAAAAGCUCCAUGGACCCAAAUGUUAAAUCUGUAGUUAUUUGAUCUGUCCAGUUGAUCUUGCCAUCAAUCUAAAUAAACAAUUAGUGGCCACUUUUAGCUUAUCAAUCAAACAAAAUGAAGCAGGAUUACAACCACUUAAGUAAAGAGGGAACAAAGUAUUUGACAUGCAACAAUAGAUCACAAGGUAUACUACAACAAUAAAUGCCAAGUUUGGAUUCUGGAAAUGUGAUCUAGUAUCCAUUCCACUCAGACGGCUGGCAACACAUAACAACUUUAUUGAAAAAAAAAUUCCAAAUAUAAGCAUCUAAAGCAACUAAACAAAACUAACAAAAGCAAAUCCCGAUGCUUAUAAAGAGAUAAUCACAAACUCCUAUGCCAACCUCAAAUUGUUCCAAGCUGGUAUAAACCCCACUAGAAAGUUUCUUCCUGACAGUCCCAAAAUCCAUGGGAUGCUCAAUGACUUCAUGGUAAUCUGGAAGCUCAUUUGGGUCUACUGGUUCAGAAAAAACACCAUACGUGUCCUUCUUUUGAAGCCUAUCAAGGAUGAACAGUAAUAGCUUUUUAUCAGGUACAGGAGUUGAGGGUCCCGAAUCUUGUACAUUAUUUGUGGGGUUUGCGCCAGCAACAGGCUUCCCUCCCUUUUCACUGAGACCAAACCCAGAUCCACCACCGAUCGCAUUGAUUUUCCGCCUUUUGUGAUACGAAGCCUUUGCUUUAUCCUCCUCGCCUUUCGAUUCUGACCCAUUAGAGUUAAGAGAAGCCGAAUCAGGCUCCGAUUUUUGGGAUGAAGGCAACUUAAGGACGAGCUUAAGCUUCUUCUCUCGGCGCUUCCCAUUCAAUUCAACGGCGUCGUCGUCGUCAUCGUCGUGUUCCGGAGAAGAGGGAGUAGGGUUGCGGCGGGUGGAUCGACGAAGAGGAGUAGGAGUGGCAGAAUUGUAAUUAUGGGAAGAAUGAACGGCUGAAUUAUUGGAAUUUGAAUUAGAAAGGUUUCGAUUUUUAAUUUGCUUGAGUUGUUGAUGUUCUUGCUGCUGCUGCUGCUGUUGUUG
Molecule: unclassified non-coding RNA, 4793 nt
Filed under: Hevea brasiliensis (rubber tree)
Lineage: Eukaryota; Viridiplantae; Streptophyta; Magnoliopsida; Malpighiales; Euphorbiaceae
Source: RNAcentral